CGCUAGAAGACUUCCUGGAAGUAUUCUGACGGAGUCUUCUCCCAUCUUAAGUGGAGUCCAAGCUUGUCUUUGUGGUCCAUUUUUUGAUUCGUAGGUGUACUCUUUUAGUUGUAAAUUCUUUUGUAAAUUUGAAGAGAUAUUAAUGAAAACAUUUUGGUAAAAAUGUUGUCUACAAUAUUAUCUUGCCAAAAGUACUUGACAUUAUUGAAUUUAUUGAUCCAACUUAAAUAACAAAACACAAUAACACAAAAAACUAGUCAAAUUUACUAAAACUAAUAAAGAAGACUUCUUAAGAAAACUUAGUCAAAUUCACAAAAGAUUAAUCAUUACACAAGUUAAAACAUAUAGCAUUUUCACUAGAAGUCUUCUGGGAAUUUUUCUCGGAAGACUUAAAUGUCAAGCGGAAAAUUAAAAUAUAAGCGGGAAAUUAAAAUUUACGCGGAAAACUCAAAUUAUAAAUGAAAAUUGAAAUUUCAAAUUUCAUGAAAGUUAAAAAGUAUAUCUUAUGAUC
RNAcentral lists this long non-coding RNA (511 nucleotides) under Brassica napus (rape). Its description in RNAcentral is "long non-coding RNA (BNAP_LNC011766)". The record is from RNAcentral. Lineage: Eukaryota; Viridiplantae; Streptophyta; Magnoliopsida; Brassicales; Brassicaceae.